AAAUACCACCCUGCAUCUCACUGCUGGCUUGCUUCUGAAGCUAAGCAGCGUUGGUCCUGGUCAGUCCCAGGAUGGGAGACCAGAUGCUACUGGAAGUGGUGUUUG
Ribosomal RNA from Hucho hucho (huchen), 105 nucleotides. The record is from Ensembl. Lineage: Eukaryota; Metazoa; Chordata; Actinopteri; Salmoniformes; Salmonidae.